This 2196-nucleotide ribosomal RNA is filed under the name Triticum aestivum (bread wheat). RNAcentral describes it as "partial small subunit ribosomal RNA". Lineage: Eukaryota; Viridiplantae; Streptophyta; Magnoliopsida; Poales; Poaceae. The record is from RNAcentral.
AUGAAAACACAAGGCAGCAAAAUGCCAGCUUCCUCAAUACCACUGUUGUACCGUUGCCUACUGCUUGUAUCAUGCCUUCUGCUCUUGGAAGAAGCAGAUGCGGCGCACCAUGGAGGGAUCUCACUGAGGUCGCAACACAUGGCCCUCCUCCACUGGAAAGCUACACUUGCGAGCCCACCACCGCAGAUGAGCUCUUGGCAGGAAAACACCAGCUCGUGCAACUGGACGGGCAUCAUGUGCACGGCUGUUCGCCAUGGCCGCCACAUGCCCUGGGUGGUCACCAACAUCUCCCUGCCAGAUGCUGGCAUCCGUGGCCAGCUUGGUGAGCUCAACUUCUCGGCUCUUCCAUUCCUUGAAUAUAUCAACCUUACUAACAAUAGUCUCCAUGGUGCACUGCCCUCUAGUAUCAGCUCCCUGUCAGCACUUUCAGUACUUGGCCUUCAAUACAACCAGCUCACAGGGAAAAUUCCCUAUGAGAUUGGUCACCUGCAAAGUCUCAGGCGGCUUGGCCUCGCAUAUAACAGACUCACAGGGCAUAUCCCUGUGUCUCUGGGUAAUCUAACAAUGUUAACUGAUCUUUUCAUUCACCAAACCAUGCUAUCAGGCCCCAUUCCCGAGGAGAUUGGAAGGCUUGUCAACCUACAAGUUCUACAGCUAAGCAACAGCACCUUAAGCGGCACGAUACCAAAAACCCUUGGAAAUCUGACCCAACUAAAUACUUUGUUUCUCUAUGGUCCAAUACCAUUAGAAUUGGGUCUCUUGCAGAAUCUCCAGAGUUUACAACUAGAUGACAACCAAAUAUCUGGUUCUAUUCCUAGCAUCUUAGGAAAUAUGACUAAGCUAGUAGAGCUGACCCUAUCUGUAAAUCACAUAACCGGUUCCAUCCCCCAAGAAAUUGGCAAUCUAAUGAACCUCGAUGGCAACAUUCCAUCCUCCUUUGGAAGCAUGGUGAGCCUUUCAACAUUUGAUGUGUCCUACAAUGACUUGGAAGGACCAGUCCCAACAACAUGGCUACUCCACAAUGCUUCAGCAAGCUGGUUUCUUCCCAAUAAAGGUAUGUGCGGUAACCUCUCUGGCCUGCCACCUUGUUAUUCAUCUCCAGUAGUUGGUCACCAUAAAGGGAAGAUACUUGGUUUGCUUUUGCCGAUUGUUCUUGUGGUGGGUUUCAGUAUUAUUGCUGCAAUUGCUGUUGUAAUAAUGCUUAGUCGUAACAAGACAAAACCACAAGAAGGUGUUAUUGCUGAAGCAAGGGACCUGUUCUCUGUUUUGAACUUUGAUGGAAGAUUGGCAUUUGACGAUAUUUUAAGGGCAACAGAAGGCUUCGAUGAUAAGUACAUCACUGGAACAGGAGGAUACGGCAAAGUCUACAAGGCACAACUCCAAGAUGGGGAGCUGGUUGCUGUGAAGAAGCUUCAUCAGACCGAAGAGUUGGAUGAUGAAAGAAGAUUUCGUAGUGAAAUGGAAAUCUUAACACAGAUCCGACAACGAAGCAUUGUCAAAAUGUAUGGAUUCUGCUCCCAUCCAGUGUAUAAGUUUCUAGUCUACGACUACAUUCAGCAGGGAAGCCUCCACGGAAUAUUGGAAAAUCAGGAGCUAGCAAAGGAAUUAGAUUGGAAGAAGAGAAUUGCUCUUGCAACUGAUGUGGCUCAAGCAAUAUCUUAUUUGCACCACGAAUGCAGUCCACCUAUAAUCCAUCGAGAUAUCACAAGCAACAACAUCUUACUUGAUACAUCCUUCAAGGGUUUUGUCUCGGAUUUUGGCACGGCAAGGAUUCUUAAACCCGAUUCAUCAAACUGGAGUGCACUAGCAGGAACAUAUGGCUACAUAGCUCCUGAACUGUCGUACACAUCUGCUGUGACAGAGAAAUGUGAUGUCUAUAGCUUUGGCGUGGUGGUGCUAGAGCUAGUGAUAGGGAAGCAUCCAAGGGAUCUAUUAGACGGUAGUUUGUCAAGCGGGGAACAAGCUAUACUUGUGAAAGAUAUUCUGGACCAACGGCCGACAACACCAACAACAACAGAAGAGAAGAGCUUAGCUCUGCUCAUCAAGCUGGCCUUCUCUUGCUUGGAAUCUUCUCCACAAGCAAGGCCAACCAUGCGGGCGGCAUACCAAACGCUCAUCCAGCAACCUUGUUCUAGUUCAAGUCCCGUGCCUUUCAGCGCACUUACAUUACAGCAAGGGAUGCAUGUUGAUGUAUGA